RNAcentral lists this long non-coding RNA (531 nucleotides) under Capra hircus (goat). RNAcentral's name for it is "lncRNA (ENSCHIG00000001409.1)". The record is from RNAcentral. Lineage: Eukaryota; Metazoa; Chordata; Mammalia; Artiodactyla; Bovidae.
AUAAGUACUAUAAAACAUAGAGCAUAGCACAAUAUCUACAAAAAUCUGAAUGUGAGGUCAACAUACACAAUAAUCCCAUAUGUAUAUCUCAGGACAUACAAGAACUUUGCUUCCUGAAGAAUUAAGAGAAUAUGAACAAGACAAUCAACAGUUCUCUUCAAGGAGAAUCGCCGCACUAGAGAGUGAACGUGUGAAAACAACUGCAGGUUGAUGAGGCAAGUUGACUUUUCAUGCAUAUCACAACACUUGCUUAUCUUGGAUUUAUUAUGUCUUUCAAUGCUGAGACACUAGAGGGAACUAAGACCCUACCUGGGUGGAAGACAGAGAGUAACUUCAGGCUUGAGCAUAAGAUUCCUAGAACAUGGUCUGCUUAUUUCACAACCAACCAAUCAGAAGAAUAUCAUAGACCCUUGCAGCCUUCACCUGAAAUUUUGCUUAUAAAAUCUUCUCCCUGAAAGCCACUGGGAUUUAAGGGGUUUUAAGCAUAAUCCACUGCUCUCCUUCCUUGGCCCUGCAAUAAAUCCUUCUCUG